Photinus pyralis (common eastern firefly) is the source of this 768-nucleotide long non-coding RNA. RefSeq lists it as uncharacterized. The transcript is spliced from 3 exons. The record is from RefSeq and is a predicted model, not a curated record. Lineage: Eukaryota; Metazoa; Arthropoda; Insecta; Coleoptera; Lampyridae.
UUAAAGUACGAGUUUAGAUGUCGGAAUUCCUAAACGAGUGCUUUAAUAAUCACUUCACGGCCGUGUAUCGUACAAAAUUUUAUUUCAUACUGUCUCAAUUUUGAGAUUUUUUUUAUUCUUUUACAUAGCACAUGUCAUCUUUAGUCGCAUCACCUUUGCAUCCGGUACCGUUGCAUAGUUACGCACGAAUUGUUUUGCCUUGUUCAUUUAUUUGUAAAAAAAAUUGAGGCGGCAUGUUCUUCUGGUGGUGAAUUUGUAAGGGUGAUUUGUUCAAAAAGUGAAGAAUCUGUAGAAAAUCUCAUCCCCAGAAAUCAGUAUCAGUUAUAUAGUUUGUGCUUGGCGAAAAAAGGUACAAUGAGGAUAAUGAUGUCAACGAAAACAUCAUGCUUUCUAACUUUUUGGAUGCGGCCAAAAAGUUCUCUAGUUCUACAUUGUGGUCCAAAUAUUCAAUGUGCAAAACCAUGAUAAAUGCAAACGCGAACAUUUCCAAAUAUGUCAAGUUGACAGCGCCUACAAAAGAUUACCUUUUAGUAAAGGACACAAAAACUCACGGUAGAGGUAGACGUAUUUGCAGUCAUUAAUACGUGCGAUGGAGUGAAUUUUUUUAAAUUGUGCAGAAAUUAUUGCAAUUUUCGCCCCAAGAAUAUGGUUGAGAAGGUGGCAAGAGGUUUCCACCACCACAGUCCCCAGCGAUGGGGGUGUGUCCACUAUUAAAAUUAGUGAGAAUUCUAAUUGUAUAAUUAAUAGUCUUAAGCUUUCGAAUGAUAA